AGUGAACGCUGGCGGUAGGCCUAACACAUGCAAGUCGAACGGCAGCACAGUAAGAGCUUGCUCUUACGGGUGGCGAGUGGCGGAUGGGUGAGGAAUACAUCGGAAUCUACUUUUUCGUGGGGGAUAACGUAGGGAAACUUACGCUAAUACCGCAUACGACCUACGGGUGAAAGCAGGGGAUCUUCGGACCUUGCGCGAUUGAAUGAGCCGAUGCCGGAUUAGCUAGUUGGCGGGGUAAAGGCCCACCAAGGCGACGAUCCGUAGCUGGUCUGAGAGGAUGAUCAGCCACACUGGAACUGAGACACGGUCCAGACUCCUACGGGAGGCAGCAGUGGGGAAUAUUGGACAAUGGGCGCAAGCCUGAUCCAGCCAUACCGCGUGGGUGAAGAAGGCCUUCGGGUUGUAAAGCCCUUUUGUUGGGAAAGAAAAGCAGCAGGUUAAUACCCCGCUGUUCUGACGGUACCCAAAGAAUAAGCACCGGCUAACUUCGUG
This 492-nucleotide ribosomal RNA is filed under the name uncultured bacterium. RNAcentral's name for it is "partial 16S ribosomal RNA". It matches the Rfam family "Bacterial small subunit ribosomal RNA", at positions 29 to 507 of the family's 1533-position model. The record is from RNAcentral.